ACCUUUUUAUUCACUUUUAGAGUGAUAGAGCGAGCUGGAUAGUUGGUAGUGACACGCGGGGUGGCAAAAAAAGCUCAUCUUCGUUUCCUUUGACACGACUCUCCAAUUUAAAGCUCAAUUCAACUCGGUUUCUUGUGUCGUGGUCGCAAAAGGUAGCGUGGGCUCUCCGUGGACCACGGGGCCCUAAACAACGUUAUGACGGCCUGGAUAAUGGUGUUCAUAUCCUCUCCAACCAUUGCUGAGUUCAGUUCUCAACUUCUUCUAAAUGCAAAUGCUCUCUCUACGCGAUUAGUUUCAAAAAGAGCUUGUAAUCAAAUCACUCGCUCAUCUUCUUAGAUGGAGAGGAGGGAGGCCUUGGGCUGAGACACAGGAUCUGUGGGCAUUUCACACCCUCAUCACAUCUUCCUUUUGAAUGGAAUUGUCAUGGGUGAGCAUAUAUGCGUGGAUGUGCUGUGCUAUUGGCGUACUACGUACCAUGUGGACCUUCUUCCAUCCACUUCUUUCAAAGCCAUCAUCGUUCAAGAGUGCAUGCUCACGCCAAAAAAGCCCGAUUUCGGUGUUGGAAAAGAUUCUAUAUCAAAUGAUGCUGCAGGCAGGUGGUGUAUGCAAAAUAAGGCAAAGCUUUGGAUCAGCUGGCACUUCUAGUUCUACCACUUUCAGGCCAUCAAGUUCGCCUCAUGAUAUGGACCUCUUCAAACCAAUUUUGAGCAAUAAUUAUUGGCAAGCAUUUUUCAAAUUGAACACCCAAACUAAAACAGGAGACACAAAGUAUUGUAAAUAAUUACGUGUGUUUUAAGGUACAGUAUAAUAUGUAUUUUUUAGAACUGCACAUCAAUAUGUCACCAAAAACAAACUGAAUUCCCUUAGUCCCCGGAUUUCAGAAAAGUUCCCCAACAUACACAUUUGCAUUUUUCUUUAACCCUGUUCCAUAAAACGGAUGC
Tigriopus californicus is the source of this 941-nucleotide long non-coding RNA. RefSeq lists it as uncharacterized. The transcript has 3 exons. The record is from RefSeq and is a predicted model, not a curated record. NCBI's taxonomy places the organism in Eukaryota, Metazoa, Arthropoda, Copepoda, Harpacticoida, Harpacticidae.